CCUACGGGCGGCAGCAGUGAGGAAUAUUGGUCAAUGGUCGGGAGACUGAACCAGCCAAGCCGCGUGAGGGAGGAAGGUACAGCGUGUCGUAAACCUCUUUUGUCAGGGAACAAAUGCGGGGACGUGUCCCCGGAUGAGUGUACCCGGAAGAAAAGCAUCGGCUAACUCCGUGCCAGCAGCCGCGGUAAUACGGGGGAUGCGAGCGUUAUCCGGAUUUAUUGGGUUUAAAGGGUGCCCAGGCGGACUGUUAAGUCAGCGGUAAAAUCCCGGGGCUCAACCCCGUCCCGCCGUUGAAACUGGCAGUCUCGAGUUGGCGAGAAGUAUGCGGAAUGCGCGGUGUAGCGGUGAAAUGCAUAGAUAUCGCGCAGAACUCCGAUUGCGAAGGCAGCAUGCCGGCUCCACACUGACGCUGAGGCACGAAAGCGUGGGUAUCGAACAGGAUUAGAUACCCUAGUAGUC
RNAcentral lists this ribosomal RNA (459 nucleotides) under uncultured bacterium. RNAcentral describes it as "partial 16S ribosomal RNA". It matches the Rfam family "Bacterial small subunit ribosomal RNA", at positions 338 to 795 of the family's 1533-position model. The record is from RNAcentral.